Paraburkholderia terricola is the source of this 171-nucleotide non-coding RNA. The record is from Rfam. NCBI's taxonomy places the organism in Bacteria, Pseudomonadati, Pseudomonadota, Betaproteobacteria, Burkholderiales, Burkholderiaceae.
UCGCGGGUGACCGCGAAUCUGAAGGAAGCCCGAGGCAAAAUGCUGGCCUGACGAACAGGAAGCGGAUAGAGGCGGCACAGCGGGGUGAGGUGGCACAAAUCGCCAAAGCCCAAUACUUGCACGGAACGCUGUGACGUAGAUCCGACAGGCAUAAGCAGGAAGGUCGCGCGA